GAUGAACGCUGGCGGCGUGCCUAAUACAUGCAAGUCGAGCGAAGCGGGGGCGGGUGAGUAACACGUCGAUACCCUACUAUAAGACUGGGAUAACUUCCGGAAACCGGUGCCACUCACGUCACUUAUGGAUGGAGCCGGGCGGCAUUAGCUAGUUGGUACGGUAACGGCUUACCAAGGCAACGAUGCAUAGCCGACCUGAGAGGGUGAUCAGCCACACUGGAACUGAGACACGGUCCAGACUCCUACGGGAGGCAGCAGUAGGGAAUCUUCCGCAAUGGGCGAAAGCCUGACGCAGCAACGCCGCGUGAAUGAUGAAGGUCUUCGGAUCGUAAAAUACUGUUAUUAGGGAAGCGGUACCUAAACAGAAAGCAACGGCUAACUACGUGCCAGCAGCCGCGGUAAUUC
This 405-nucleotide ribosomal RNA is filed under the name uncultured bacterium. RNAcentral describes it as "partial 16S ribosomal RNA". It matches the Rfam family "Bacterial small subunit ribosomal RNA", at positions 28 to 526 of the family's 1533-position model. The record is from RNAcentral.